This 2358-nucleotide unclassified non-coding RNA is filed under the name Aphidius gifuensis. RNAcentral describes it as "paired box protein Pax-6-like, transcript variant X2". Lineage: Eukaryota; Metazoa; Arthropoda; Insecta; Hymenoptera; Braconidae. The record is from RNAcentral.
UUAUUUAUUUAUUAUUUAAAAAUAAAAAACAAAAAAAUUUUAAUAAAAAAUUUGUGUGAAACUUUGGAGUAUUUUCAUUAGUGGAUUUCAAGUUAUAGAUUUUAAAAAUUAUUAUUAUUUUUUUUUUUUUUUCUCUUCUAUUGACAGUGAAUAAUUGUUGAGGAAUCUGAUAAGUGCUGAAAAACUGCCGCCGGCAAAUCUUGUGACGUAUAGUGAUCAAAAGCCUGAAGAUUUUACCUUCGCAGCAGUUGGGCGCUGCGGUCGCUCCAUGGCCGGGCGCCACUGGCCUCCUGUCAGUCGCUGAUGAUAUGGCCCACAAAGGUCAUAGUGGUGUAAAUCAAUUAGGUGGUGUUUUUGUUGGUGGUCGACCACUUCCCGACUCGACACGACAAAAAAUUGUUGAACUUGCACAUUCGGGGGCUAGACCAUGCGAUAUCUCAAGGAUACUUCAGGUCAGCAAUGGAUGCGUCUCGAAGAUACUUGGCAGGUAUUAUGAAACAGGCUCAAUAAGACCAAGAGCAAUUGGUGGUAGUAAACCUCGUGUUGCAACUGCUGAAGUUGUUGGUAAAAUAUCACUGUACAAAAGUGAAUGUCCAUCAAUAUUCGCAUGGGAAAUACGUGAUCGAUUGCUUCAAGAAGGUGUUUGUACCAACGACAACAUUCCAAGUGUGUCAUCAAUAAACAGGGUACUUAGAAAUUUAGCUGCACAAAAAGAACAACGUCAACAACAUCAACAACAACACCAACAACAACAACAACAACAGCAACAAUCUGUUGGUGUUGGUGCAUCUAGUCCAGGUGAAAGUGUUUAUGAUAAAUUAAGGCUUCUAAAUGGACAAACAAAUGGAUGGCCAAGACCAAAUCCUUGGUAUCCAACAGGUGCUGGUAGUCCAUUUCCAUCACUACAAAGAUCAUUGAGUCCAAGUCAUUGCACAGUACUUGCACCUGAUCCUGCAGAUAUACUACAUGCAAAAAAAAUUGCAGAAUUAGAGGGUGGUGCUCAUUCAGAUGAGACAAACAGCGGUGGUGAUAAUAGCAAUGCUGGUAGUGUAUCUGGUGGUCCUGAUGAUGACCAAGCUAGACUUAGAUUAAAACGUAAAUUACAACGUAAUCGUACGAGUUUUACAAAUGAACAAAUUGAUGCACUUGAAAAAGAAUUUGAAAGAACACAUUAUCCAGAUGUAUUUGCAAGAGAAAGAUUAGCUGGUAAAAUUGGCCUACCAGAAGCAAGAAUACAGGUAUGGUUUUCGAAUCGUCGUGCAAAGUGGAGACGUGAAGAAAAAUUAAGAACACAAAGAAGGGACACUGGACAGCAACAACAACAACAACAACAACAGCAACAACAACAGCAACAACAACAGCAACAACAACAGCAACAACAGCAGCAACAACAACAACAAGGACUAACACAUGUUGGACUUGGACAUCCAACACCACCACCACCAAGUAGUAUUUUACCUCCACAAGCACCAAGUCCACCUAGACUUCACCAUGGUUUUGCACCGACAGGUGUUUAUCCUGGUAUACCAAGUAUGCCUGAUGCCUAUAGCCCAAUGACGUCAAUGCCAAGUUUCACAAUGUCAGGACAACAAAGUCAACAACAUGUAAAUAGUAUGUCAUCACUAACUGGUAGUGGUAUGGGACCAAUGGGUAUGUCUGUCGGUAUGUCUGUUGGACCAACACCAGCAUCGUGUCUUCAUCAACGUGAUAAUGGUUAUUCAUGUGGUGUUGGACGUCCAUCAAGUUAUGAAACAUUACAUCUUGGAUAUAGUACAAGACCAAAUUGCAGUCCAACUCAGCCUUAUCAUACAACCGGCCUCAAUCAAUAUCACAAUCAAAAUACAAAUUCAACUGGUGAGUGUCUACCACACUCACUGCUAGCACUAUGAUCAUCAUGGUCCCAGGGACUAGGACUUGGCUAUCAUCAUUCACCUGGAUUACCAUUAUAAAUUAAUUAAUAAAACUACACGAGAACAACUACACAAUGAUAAAUAUUUAAUCGGUUUGCCGGGUGUUAGUGUGCCAAUUGCUGUACCUGGACAGCCAGCACCAGAUAUGGCAGCCCAGUACUGGUCAUCGCGACUUCAGUGACCAUGGUGGUCAUCCACCUCAACCUCAUAGUCACACUGAAUUAUUAUAUUUUGUUUUAAGAUAUUUUUUAAAUUUUUUAUGUGUUAAAUAUUUUAAAUAAUAUUCGAUUAUAAAAUUUAUAUUAUAAUUGUUCAAAGUGAUUUUAUUAUUAAUUUAUGAGAAGAUAAAGAUUGUGUUAAUCAUGUGCAAGAAAUUUUUUUUUUUAUAAUAAUAAUUCAAGGGGUAUUAAUAGUUUAACAAUGCUUUUUUUUUUUUCAAUUUUUUUUU